AACGAACGCUGGCGGCAUGCCUAACACAUGCAAGUCGAACGAGACCUUCGGGUCUAGUGGCGCACGGGUGCGUAACGCGUGGGAAUCUGCCCUUCGGUUGGGAAUAACUGAGAGAAAUUUCAGCUAAUACCUUAUAAUGUCUUCGGACCAAAGAUUUAUCGCCGAGGAAUGAGCCCGCGUAGGAUUAGCUAGUUGGUGGGGUAAUGGCCUACCAAGGCGACGACCCUUAGCUGGUCUGAGAGGAUGAUCAGCCACACUGGGACUGAGACACGGCCCAGACUCCUACGGGAGGCAGCAGUGGGGAAUAUUGGACAAUGGGCGAAAGCCUGAUCCAGCAAUGCCGCGUGAGUGAUGAAGGCCUUAGGGUUGUAAGGCUCUUUUACCCGGGAUGAUAAUGACAGUACCGUGAGAAUAAGCUCCGGCUAACUCCGUGCCAGCCGCCGCUGUAA
Molecule: ribosomal RNA, 449 nt
Filed under: uncultured bacterium
Lineage: Bacteria
Description: partial 16S ribosomal RNA
Rfam family: Bacterial small subunit ribosomal RNA
Source: RNAcentral